This 2074-nucleotide unclassified non-coding RNA is filed under the name Octopus sinensis (East Asian common octopus). RNAcentral describes it as "dNL-type zinc finger protein-like, transcript variant X1". The record is from RNAcentral. Lineage: Eukaryota; Metazoa; Mollusca; Cephalopoda; Octopoda; Octopodidae.
CAACAUAGUUGCUACCAAUAUUUAUAUACAAAAAACCCCGGUGUCAUUUCGUUUCGACUUUUAGAUCAACUGUUACGUGAGAGUAACCGCCUAUAAACGAAUUUCAGAAGCAGAUAUUUUUUUCCUUAUAAUACUUAAGUAUUUUAAUAUUCCUGAUAUAAGAAACCAUUACAUUUAUCCAAUUAAUUAUUUUAAUAUUUCUGGCUUUCUAUACAUUUACUUAAAUUUUAUUAUUUAUUUAUAUCAAAAGAACACCAGUGACGAUUCGGUUCGACUUUUAGAUCAACCGAAGCGAAGCUACAUUUAAUUGAAUUUCACCGAGGCGCAGGUUCUUCUCUUUAUUCGACAUACCUAAUUAGGUAUUUUAAAACUUUUCACGUAAGAAACCAUUAACAUAGUUAAUUAAAUAUUUUGUUACAUCCAACCUACCAAAUACCAACUUGUAGAUGAAUUUACAGUGAAUCUUCCCCAAUGGCCAGCUAUCUCCGUUCAUUAAGUCUUUGUCGGUCAUUACUAAUUAACUACAGACACCUCAAGAACUUCCACCGUGUCUGCUCGGUUGCCAGGCCCCGUUUAUUAUACAAGCAUGACCAGAACUUCCAUACAGGCCUUAACUUUCGACAAGACGACCCGAAAUCCAAACUGGCGUAUAUGUCCCCUAAAAUGCAGAUUAUCUACACAUGCCGUGUUUGUGGGACACGCUCCUCCAAGACUUUCUCCAAGGUCUCCUACGAACGGGGUGUGGUGUUGGUGCGAUGUCCUGGCUGUCAGAACCUACACCUUAUAGCGGAUAACCUCGACUACUUCAGUAAAACCGGUAAAACAAAUGUUGAGAAAAUUCUGGCUGAAAAAGGAGAAAAAGUGACCAAAAAUCAAAGCCAUGAUGGAACAGUAGAAAUUGCACCCGAUUCAAGCUGAUGAUGUCAUUCGUUUCUGUCUCAUCUCUAUGACGACUCUAUUUCUUUCACAGGCAUGAGAAAUAUAUUUCUUGUGACAUUCAUGUCUUUCCUUGCAGCAAUAUUAAUAACAUCCUCAUCAUCGUUUUAUGUCUGUUUUCCAUGCUGGCAUGGAUCGUCUGAAUUCAAAACACAAUGAUGGCUGUGACAUUAACUUUUUUUUUGUUACCAUUAUUUCUGCCUUUGUUUCAAUUAAUUAUUCAAAACGAAGCAUUCAGUAAAAUUAAUUUUGUCAUUAAUAUUAAUGAGCUGUGUUUGUAACAUAAAUUAACGUGAAAUUUUGAAGGAAAGAAUGAUUAAAUUUAGAUCCCUUUAAAACGAAGUUUUUGUAUCCUAGAACUAGAGGUAGUCUUAGACAGGUUGGUAUCAUCAUCAUUGUCAUCGUUUAACGUCCGCUUUCCAUGCUGGCAUGGGUUAGAUGGUUUGAUUGAGGACUAGCAAGCCAGGAGGCUGCACCAGGCUCCAAUCUGAUCUGACAAACUUUCUACAGCUGGAUGCCCUUCCUAAUGCCGAGGGGAUGCCCUUCCUAGGGUUAAUAGAUGAUAUACUCAUCUUAAUUCUCUAUGUAGAGUUUUUGUGAAACUGUUGUCUUAAACUGUUUCGGAAAAUAAAGAAUCUAACUGUAUUAGAUUCUUCACUCAAACCAGAAAAAAACAAGUAGUUGCACCGUUUUGUUAUGUCUCUCUUGAAAUACACAGCCUUUAUUUUAAUUAAUUCUGAAAAUAAUUAUUUAUUAAAAAUAACUUUGUCUUUUUUAAGCAGGUAUUUGGAACAUAGAUUAAGAGAAAAUUUUUAGGGAUGGUUUUAAUUCAGAUCAUUUUUAAAACAAGAGGUGGACUCAGUCUGGUAUCAAAAGGGUUCCACAUGUUGGUUUACCAACUGAGCACCAGUUGAGCACUGGCCUUAUACCAAAAUUUAAAACCAUUAUUAUUCGUACCAGAAGACCUGUUGAGUCAAGUAAAACCAAUACCAUAACUGUGGCCAGUGGCCCCUGGCUGGCUCCCGUGCUGGUGGUAUGUAAAAAGCACUAUCCGAAAGUGAUUAUUGCCAGGCCCGCCUGACUGGCUCCUGUAGCGGUGGCACAUAAAAAGGACCCACUGCACUCUCAGAGUGGUUGG